Molecule: non-coding RNA, 412 nt
Organism: Paramisgurnus dabryanus
Lineage: Eukaryota; Metazoa; Chordata; Actinopteri; Cypriniformes; Cobitidae
Source: RefSeq, a predicted model, not a curated record
AGGACCACCAUUUGUUUCCUGAUCAGAACUCAAGAGAAGAAUCUAACAGUGGUUUGGGGGCAUUGCAAGACCAUGAUUACCUGGAAACAUCUCCUAUUAUGGAAGAGCACAACAUCAUGCUCGCAACAUUUGUGUCCUGGAUCAGUUUUUCUUGUUUCUCUGCUGUAUGAGGCAGGGGCUUCUUUCCGCAGAUUUAGCUCAUACAGCAAACGGACGGUUUGGACUACAGCCCUCUACUUCCCGAUUGAAUGACAUCCAAAGAAGAGUUUUUUUUACUAACUCUCACCCACAGGAAUACGUCAGUCGCAAGCAAAGCUCAAAUGGCUCUGCUAAGCUAAGUUGCUGUUAAAUCACAACACACUAAACAAACUACUACACAAUCAAAACUCGAUAUAUAUUUCUGAAGGAGGGA